GGUGUCGUAGCCAAAUGGAAAGGCAAGAGUCUGCAAAACUUUUACAUGCUGGUUCGAGUCCAGCGGGCACCU
Molecule: transfer RNA, 72 nt
Filed under: Kineothrix alysoides
Lineage: Bacteria; Bacillati; Bacillota; Clostridia; Lachnospirales; Lachnospiraceae
Rfam family: tRNA
About the family: Transfer RNA (tRNA) molecules are approximately 80 nucleotides in length. Their secondary structure includes four short double-helical elements and three loops (D, anti-codon, and T loops). Further hydrogen bonds mediate the characteristic L-shaped molecular structure. tRNAs have two regions of fundamental functional importance: the anti-codon, which is responsible for specific mRNA codon recognition, and the 3' end, to which the tRNAs corresponding amino acid is attached (by aminoacyl-tRNA synthetases). tRNAs cope with the degeneracy of the genetic code in two manners: having more than one tRNA (with a specific anti-codon) for a particular amino acid; and 'wobble' base-pairing, i.e. permitting non-standard base-pairing at the 3rd anti-codon position.
Source: Rfam by way of RNAcentral